RNAcentral lists this ribosomal RNA (134 nucleotides) under uncultured eukaryote. RNAcentral's name for it is "partial small subunit ribosomal RNA". It matches the Rfam family "Eukaryotic small subunit ribosomal RNA", at positions 1651 to 1782 of the family's 1831-position model. The record is from RNAcentral.
CCCUGCCAUUUGUACACACCGCCCGUCGCACCUACCGAUUGAAUGGUCCGGUGAAAUCUUCGGAUCGGAGCUUUGAUUUGUUUACGCAAAACGCUGUUCCGAGAAGUUGAUUAAACCUUACCAUUUAGAGGAAG